RNAcentral lists this small RNA (871 nucleotides) under Rattus norvegicus (Norway rat). RNAcentral describes it as "uncharacterized LOC102547836". Lineage: Eukaryota; Metazoa; Chordata; Mammalia; Rodentia; Muridae. The record is from RNAcentral.
CCCGUCCUGCCACUAAGGCUACUUCUUGGGGGUCUCCGGUUUCUUUGCUUUUUAGCUACUAACCUUCCUCUACUCCCUGGCCUAAGUGGUCCUACGUGGGUGGAGAACUUCCUUUGUUGACUUUUGAGCGGCCAUCUUAGAAAAAUCAGGGAAAGAAUGGGACUGGUCAGUAUAGGGUGCUGUUUAUAAGGAAGCCUUGUUUGUAGGAGUUGUUGAGACAAAUGUAAUUUAGAUUUUGAGAGAUCAAAAGAAGAAUGAUGGAGACAGAAUAAGACCCUAAAAAGAGCUGUGGGAUAGAGGCAACAAGCCUGUCAUCUCAGCACUUGGGAGGCCGAGGGAAGCUCUUUAACCAGGAAGAUAAACAACUGAAAAGAGCUUUGGGAAGUCCCCGAAACUGACUAGAUUCACUAGGUCCCUCUCUUCCAGAAUAAGCAAUAAAAACUGAGCGUGCUUCUCAGAAGAGAGUGCCGAGUUGCCAAGAAAGACUCUGAUACUAGACCAGCUGUCUGGAAGAAGCGGAAAAUGGCUGAAUUGCCUGGAAGAUGUUUAGACCAACUGAGGCACCUGGAAAGAACACUCUCCAACCAGUUGCGCUGCCCGCAGGCUGUGCAGUAUUCUCCAGAUUCCCAUCUUCGUCAGCUGUCAUCCAUGCUUGGACGGACUUUGGUGAAGCAGCUGUCCUUGAGUCAUUUCUUGUAUUUUUAUAAGUAACCCCUAAUUCAUACUCCUGUAAAUAACCCUAAUAAACUCAUUGUUCAUUGGACUUUGGUGGAAUCUGUAACUUGGUAGGUCGUGGGUUCCCUAUAUUGAAGAAGAGUAGACAUGUGUUACACAACACUGUUUUGUUGUUUGCUUUUUUUUUUUAAGCAUC